GGAUGCAAUCAUACCGGCACUAAUGCACCGGA
Molecule: ribosomal RNA, 32 nt
Filed under: Platanus kerrii
Lineage: Eukaryota; Viridiplantae; Streptophyta; Magnoliopsida; Proteales; Platanaceae
Source: RNAcentral